CCCAUAUAGGGGAAGGCCAAAACAUUGCAAGUCGAGCGGAUGACGGGAGCUUGCUCCUUGAUUCAGCGGCGGACGGGUGAGUAAUGCCUAGGAAUCUGCCUGGUAGUGGGGGACAACGUUUCGAAAGGAACGCUAAUACCGCAUACGUCCUACGGGAGAAAGCAGGGGACCUUCGGGCCUUGCGCUAUCAGAUGAGCCUAGGUCGGAUUAGCUAGUUGGUGGGGUAAUGGCUCACCAAGGCGACGAUCCGUAACUGGUCUGAGAGGAUGAUCAGUCACACUGGAACUGAGACACGGUCCAGACUCCUACGGGAGGCAGCAGUGGGGAAUAUUGGACAAUGGGCGAAAGCCUGAUCCAGCCAUGCCGCGUGUGUGAAGAAGGUCUUCGGAUUGUAAAGCACUUUAAGUUGGGAGGAAGGGCAGUAAGUUAAUACCUUGCUGUUUUGACGUUACCGACAGAAUAAGCACCGGCUAACUCUGUGCCAGCAGCCGCGGUAAUACAGGAGGGUGCAAGCGUUAAUCGGGAAUUACUGGGCGUAAAGCGCGCGUACGUGGUUUGUUAA
RNAcentral lists this ribosomal RNA (562 nucleotides) under Pseudomonas sp. HaMKU-2. RNAcentral describes it as "bacterial SSU rRNA". It matches the Rfam family "Bacterial small subunit ribosomal RNA", at positions 26 to 586 of the family's 1533-position model. The record is from RNAcentral. Lineage: Bacteria; Pseudomonadati; Pseudomonadota; Gammaproteobacteria; Pseudomonadales; Pseudomonadaceae.